Meriones unguiculatus (Mongolian gerbil) is the source of this 104-nucleotide small nuclear RNA. Lineage: Eukaryota; Metazoa; Chordata; Mammalia; Rodentia; Muridae. The record is from Ensembl.
AUACUCUCUUUGGCAGCACAUAUGCUGAAAUUGAGAUGAUACAGAGAUGAGCAAGGCCUAUGUGCUAGAAUGACAUCCAAAUUCAUGAAGCAUUCUGUAUUUUG